Molecule: ribosomal RNA, 400 nt
Filed under: uncultured bacterium
Lineage: Bacteria
Description: bacterial SSU rRNA
Rfam family: Bacterial small subunit ribosomal RNA
Source: RNAcentral
AACGAACGCUGGCGGCGCGCCUAAUACAUGCAAGUCGAGCGAGAAGACGUAGCAAUACGUUUGUAAAGCGGCGAACGGGUGAGGAAUACAUGGGUAACCUACCCUCGAGUGGGGAAUAACUAGCCGAAAGGUUAGCUAAUACCGCGUACGCUCCUUGGACUUCGGUUCAGGGAGGAAAGCGAUACCGUGGGUAUCGCGCUCUUGGAUGGGCUCAUGUCCUAUCAGCUUGUUGGUGAGGUAACGGCUCACCAAGGCUUCGACGGGUAGCUGGUCUGAGAGGACAAUCAGCCACACUGGCACUGCGACACGGGCCAGACUCCUACGGGAGGCAGCAGUAAGGAAUAUUGCGCAAUGGGCGAAAGCCUGACGCAGCGACGCCGCGUGGGGGAUGAAGGUCUUC